This 497-nucleotide ribosomal RNA is filed under the name uncultured bacterium. Its description in RNAcentral is "partial 16S ribosomal RNA". It matches the Rfam family "Bacterial small subunit ribosomal RNA", at positions 28 to 507 of the family's 1533-position model. The record is from RNAcentral.
GAUGAACGCUGGCGGCGUGCCUAAUACAUGCAAGUCGAGCGAACGGACGAGAAGCUUGCUUCUCUGAUGUUAGCGGCGGACGGGUGAGUAACACGUGGAUAACCUACCUAUAAGACUGGGAUAACUUCGGGAAACCGGAGCUAAUACCGGAUGAUAUUUUGAACCGCAUGGUUCAAAAGUGAAAGACGGUCUUGCUGUCACUUAUAGAUGGAUCCGCGCUGCAUUAGCUAGUUGGUAAGGUAGCGGCUUACCAAGGCAACGAUGCAUAGCCGACCUGAGAGGGUGAUCGGCCACACUGGAACUGAGACACGGUCCAGACUCCUACGGGAGGCAGCAGUAGGGAAUCUUCCACAAUGGGCGAAAGCCUGACGGAGCAACGCCGCGUGAGUGAUGAAGGUCUUCGGAUCGUAAAACUCUGUUAUUAGGGAAGAACAUAUGUGUAAGUAACUGUGCACAUCUUGACGGUACCUAAUCAGAAAGCCACGGCUAACUACGUG